GAAUCCCACCACUGCCCUUGACUCUCAGCAGGAGGGUAUGUGACGUCUGCAUUCUGGGUGCCCCUUAGAAUGACCCAUCCCUCAUUCCUCCAAGGGGGGCAGCAGUUUCCCAGGAGGAAGAGAGAAUGUGCCCCACACAGGUGAUGGAGGGCUUGGUGCUGCCUCCACCUGGCUGCUGUGUCUCGGCUUAAACUCUGUGCCCGGAACAUGUGUGCCUCUGAGACCUUCAUCCUCCUGAAACCUGUUGGCCUUUCCCACUCCUGAAGGAAGACCCAAAAUGCCUCACGGUCCUUUAGUGCCCUUGGCUAUACCUCUUCCCCACACUCUUGCUUCUGGCCUCACUGGCAGCUGAAGGGCAGCUGGCCGUCAGAGGCAAAGCCACCAGGCUUUGGGCCCCCAAACCUGAAGUCUACAGCUGACAUCUAGCUUCCUCACUAGGGCGGAAAAGGCCCCGAGACCUGACCCCGGUGGCCCCUCCUAUCUCCCUAGGCUCAUCACCCCUCUCCCUCUGCCUGUCACAUGGACCUUCUCUCCAUUCCCUACCCAAGCCACGCUUCCUGCCUCAGCACCUGUGCCCUGGCGUCCCAUCUGCCUGGCACACUCUUCCUACGGCUCCUUCAGGGCCUCAGUUCAGAAUUUACCUCCUUGGAAAGGAUGCUCCUGACCGAGCACACGGUCAUGCUCUGCAUGGUGCCUACUUAUUUCUUCAGAGCAAACCAGGGCGAGGACCAAGUCUGCUCUGUUCCCUGCUGUUCCUCAAGAGCCUGGAACAGUCCUGACCCGGAGUCAGUGCUCCACAGCCGUGGACGAAACGAAUGGACAGGAAAGCUAAGGAAUGGCUGGGGACAGAAGGAUGGGUCAUCUGCACAGAAUGUGCCCAGCUCUCCAGUGGGCGAUGAAAUGAUUGUAAUAAUAGCAGUUAUUAGCCAGUUGUACCAACCAGCGAUAAUGGGGCUACAGCACUCAAAAGGGACACCACUCACUCUAACAUCCAGAAAAACAGUAAACAAUAAUUUCAUCUUUAAUGAAGGAUUUCAGAGGUCUGGCAUUGCGGGUAGGGAUAAAUUGUGUGGCACACACACAAAAUGUCCCAAAGAUCUUUUGUAUCCACUGAACUCUCCAAACUUCCUCUUAUCCUGGAAGCUGUCCCGCCUUGCAAAACAAUGUCUCUUCUCUCCCACAGACCUCUCUCUGGCAGCAGCCUUCCUCCUCCCUCCAUCCUGACCUACUCUUCUCUUCUUCAUCUUCUAUUCCUGUGUCCAUGCCCUGCUUUAAAAGCACUUGCUUACAUCUCCUGCCUGGUACAGAGUAGGCACUAAAUACAUGACAGAUGGAGAGAGAGGAGGGGAGAAAUAAAGGAAGAAAAAAAGGAAAAGGAGAGAAAAACUGCAAAUAAACUAGCAUCACUGUUGAAAAGUUACUUUGCAACAGGUUCUGGGGCCUUGUCACAGAUGCCAGAUGAUAUGCAUCGAUCAGCAAACGGGGCAACGAAACCAAGAUGUUUUCCAAAAGCUUUCUGAGAGGCAGGAGAGAAAGGUGAACUUUGGAGUGUACCUGAUGCACACGGCUUUGGAUUCGUCUUCUCCGUGUUACCUGUCUGUAGGAUCUCAGGUGCUCCCUAUGUUGAAGGAAAACACAGAACACGAUGAUUUAUCUGCUUCUGAGAAACAUCAGCAUGUGGUCUCCUAAAAUUUGUUUUCAACAUAGAUUAAAAUUUCUCUUUUACAACUAUCUCCA
This is a non-coding RNA of Vicugna pacos (alpaca), 1737 nucleotides long. NCBI's taxonomy places the organism in Eukaryota, Metazoa, Chordata, Mammalia, Artiodactyla, Camelidae. The record is from RefSeq and is a predicted model, not a curated record.